Lagopus leucura (white-tailed ptarmigan) is the source of this 1359-nucleotide long non-coding RNA. RefSeq lists it as uncharacterized. The transcript is spliced from 2 exons. The record is from RefSeq and is a predicted model, not a curated record. NCBI's taxonomy places the organism in Eukaryota, Metazoa, Chordata, Aves, Galliformes, Phasianidae.
CGCGAGGUGCUCGAGCUUUGCUUCCGCGGGAUUGGCGCUCCGCUCUCCCCGAGCUGUUUGAUGCCUCUGAGACGGAAGGUUUCUGCCGUCUUUUGCGUUGUGAGAGCUUCCUGUGGCCGAGCUCUGAAUUGCACGAGCUGCUCACUGCUGUGUGUGUGCCGUAUGGAUCCACCAUCACUUGACCACGUACAGACGCAAUCCCGACAGAAAACCAGGAGCUGAUGCUUCUUUGAUCACUUCUACCAGCUUCGUGUUAUUGCAGCUGUUUAGAACACAACAAAAAUAUUCUUCAGCACUGUAACGUUUGUUUGAAUUUCUGUUGGCCUCAACAGAUGGCAGCUGGUCUCCUGUUUGGGUAAUAAAUGCCACGGAUGGAUGUGGUACAAUCUGGAUUUUGUCUGAUUUCCACCUGCCACAAGGGCAGACAGCAUCUGCCACCUUUGAGGUUAGCAUAUUUGUUUUGGGUAAACGGCGUUUGUUUGUCAGUGUGGCACCAGAUGGAGCUGCACCCUACAGCAUCACAGGAACUUGGUAUAAGGGUUUUUUGUUUCUUUAAAAACGCACAUUUUAUUUAAGAAUUCUGUUACUAGCGCUUAUCAGUGAUCUGCUGAUGUCAUCUUUCCUUUAGUUAUGUAACCUUUAAAAACCUGAAGUCCUGCUUGUCGUUAAGAGGAAGAUGCAUCUGUUAUCAAAUAUGCAGCUCCAAGACCCCUUUUCUGAACUCAUGCAGCACGUAGGGGCUGACAGAAGAAAAUGGGGAUAGUACUCACAGCAUUCUGCACUGUGGUCCUGAGCUCCUGCUUGGAUGAAGGAAAAAUCUCUCACCAGCUGAAGGUAUCCUGUGGCAUUAACUGAGCCAUUCCUUGCUAGCCAGUGUAAUUCAGCAAGUGGAAUAUCCAGAAUUACUUUAUUGGCCGUAUGUUAAAAAGAAGAGAUGCAUACACUGAUGGAACGAGGCCCUGAUAGUAACCUAUAGCACUUUGGAUACUGCAUUGCUCUGAUCUCUAAGGUCACACAGGAGGCUCGGGCUGUGACAUGGGAUGACUGCUAUGAGCGGAGGAAGCUGAUAAGGAUUUUCCUUUCAGCAUUUAUCGGCAGGUUCUGAGGGAAGCCCAGCCUGCGCGAUUGUUUUUGCCUAUCUGCUCCUUCCUUUGUAGCUCUGGAACUCGCUGACUGGUUUCAACCAGCAAGACGUAGGAAUUUCAAUGGUAACUGCAGUCCCUAAAUAGAGAGCUCCACCAGAUGAAGGAAAGAAACAGCGCUGAGCGACAAAAGAAGCAGAUCCCUGCCUCAUGGAGCGACUGCUGACCCCUCAGCAAUGCAUUUCGAAGGGAUGGAAAUACACAAGCUUUGCUUAUA